GAGCAGCUGCUUGGCUGCAGCAGGAGAGGAAGCGGCUGGCAGCCGCACUGGCUGGGGACCCAUCAUCGGAACUGGGUCAGCUCAGCUCUGUGGAGAGAGCACAGCGCCAGCCUGCAGACAGACGCAGCACAGAGCCCGGAAGCAGCGGGCAGCCUGGGGGCGGCAAGGGCAGCAGAGCUGGGCAGCAAUCAGCUGCGGCUGCCAGGCCCGGGGAGAACCAGGGUGGGCGGAGAGAAGUUCGCAGCUUGGACACGCCUAGAACCAAGGCCUACUGGAAAAAGAAAAUGCAUUUAUGUGAAGAAAUUAGUCUCAUACCUAUUUCCAUACCAAUUAUAAAAUAGGAGAACUUAAACCCAGAAGAUGCAAGGGAUAGAUGAAUGAGUUGAACGGUAGAAAGCAAAGUAAAUAAAUAAAUUCUGUGACUCACAAAAGAGAAAAUAAAAACAGGAAGAGAAUAAGAGUUCACCAAGAAGCAAGCCCUCCCUGCAAACCAGCACCAUGUACAGGCUGCUGCCAGUUGGGGAAUGCCUGACCCCAGCCCCUUCCUGCACCUGGGCUGGGCAAGAAGAGCCAGCCCCACGCCACACACACCAUCAGCGACUGGCUGAUCCAGAGAAACAAAGGCUGCAAAGACAGCUGUGGAGGUGAGAUGCAGUUGGAUACCGGUGGUGUCUGGUGUUUCACUGACCUUGCAGGUCUCUGGCCGGUGGUCUGAUCACCUACUCGGAGGAUAACAGUGCACAGUGUGGCAUCUAUGGGGAUCUCCUUCUCAGGGUGGUAGCCAUUAUUAAUUCCCUAUUAUCUUGUUUUGAAGCCCUGUAUCAUUCUCAUUGUCUUGUUGGGUUGGAUUAUAUUCUGUUUUGGUUUUUUGAAUCUGUUAUAUCCAAUGACAUGAACAGCUAUGUCAAAGAUAGCCAGAUAUAUUCUGGUAGCCAUUUUGGACUUACUAUUGUCUUGAUUUGAAGUCCUUCAUUGCAUUUAUUGUUUUGUUUUUAUUGGUUCUGUUCUGUUCUGUUUAGUUUGAUUUUUUCUAUGUCCAAACAUAUCUGCAGCUAUUUGGAAGAAAAUAAGAGGCAAUAUGGUAAUCAUUGUUGAUUUCAUAUUGUUUUAAAGUCCUGUGUCACUUAUACUGGUUUGUUUUGAUUGGUUUUGUUCUGUUUUGUUUUACUUGGUUUUAUUCACUUUAAAAUAAAAAAAUUAAAAACAAA
Cavia porcellus (domestic guinea pig) is the source of this 1208-nucleotide long non-coding RNA. RefSeq lists it as uncharacterized. Lineage: Eukaryota; Metazoa; Chordata; Mammalia; Rodentia; Caviidae. The record is from RefSeq and is a predicted model, not a curated record. The transcript is spliced from 2 exons.